RNAcentral lists this ribosomal RNA (253 nucleotides) under uncultured bacterium. RNAcentral's name for it is "partial 16S ribosomal RNA". It matches the Rfam family "Bacterial small subunit ribosomal RNA", at positions 524 to 776 of the family's 1533-position model. The record is from RNAcentral.
UACGUAGGGGGCUAGCGUUGUCCGGAAUCAUUGGGCGUAAAGCGCGCGUAGGUGGCCCGGUAAGUCCGCUCUGAAAGUCACAGGCUCAACCUGUGAAAGCGGGUGGAUACUGCCGGGCUAGAGUCCGGAAGAGGCGAGUGGAAUUCCUGGUGUAGCGGUGGAAUGCGCAGAUAUCAGGAGGAACACCAACGGCGAAGGCAGCUCGCUGGGACGGUACUGACACUGAGGCGCGAAAGCGUGGGGAGCGAACAGG